Molecule: ribosomal RNA, 459 nt
Filed under: uncultured bacterium
Lineage: Bacteria
Description: partial 16S ribosomal RNA
Rfam family: Bacterial small subunit ribosomal RNA
Source: RNAcentral
CCUACGGGCGGCAGCAGUGAGGAAUAUUGGUCAAUGGCCGGAAGGCUGAACCAGCCAAGCCGCGUGAAGGACGAAGGUGCCAAGCAUUGUAAACUUCUUUUGUCAAGGGACAAAAUCAGGCUCGAGAGCCUGACCGAGGGUACUUGAAGAAAAAGCCUCGGCUAACUCCGUGCCAGCAGCCGCGGUAAUACGGAGGAUGCGAGCGUUAGACGGAUUUAUUGGGUUUAACGGGUACGUAGGCGGACGGUUAAGUCAGCGGUAAAAGCCCGGUGCUCAACCCCGGCGAGCCGUUGAAACUGGCUGUCGUGAGAUGUCGAGAGGUAUGCUGAAUGCGCAGUGUAGCGGGGAAAGGCUUAGAUAUUGCGCAGAACUCCGAUGGCGAAGGCGGCAUACCGGCGGCGAUCUGACGCUGAGGCACGAAAGCGUGGGUAUCGAACAGGAUUAGAUACCCCUGUAGUC